Molecule: long non-coding RNA, 1514 nt
Organism: Myotis brandtii (Brandt's bat)
Lineage: Eukaryota; Metazoa; Chordata; Mammalia; Chiroptera; Vespertilionidae
Exons: 2
Source: RefSeq, a predicted model, not a curated record
UCCAUGGCCUGCGGAGAGGGGCCCACCCGGCUGCUGGGCGCCCCCACGCCGACCUCUGAAGCUCCUCAAGGAGUCAGUGGACAAAACGGCGCAUCACCCGCUGUCUGGAGACAUCCGCCCUCCAGGCAGGGCCCGGUGACCUGCUGAGAGCGCCAGCCUGAAACCACCCCAAACGGAUCUGUCAGGGAACAGGGCUCUUGGGGCCUCUGAGGGUGGGAAGCUGAAAGGAAUCUUCUCUUGAUGACCUCACAGAGUGGCACGUGGAACCCUGAUCGGGGAAUGAGGUCACAGAGGAUGGUUGGAGUCCGUAGGGGCUGGGGGCAGGCAGAAGUCAGGCCUGAUGGUCCGGUAAUGAGGGACAGGCCUAUGCGCCAGGUCCCAGUUUCAUUUAAACUUUGGAGACGAAGAGGAAGGAGUCAGGUGAAAAUACCGACCCACUGCUUUAGCCGUGGCCCCCGCUGUGCUGUCUGUCUGAGGGGAAGCGUGUGCCGGACCAUCUGACUGACACCAGCCAGGCUGUUACCUGUCUGCCUUUGCCUCCUUGGCCCCCUUCUCCGUCCGUGCUAUUCAUCGGAGACCUUCAGGUGUCUGUUGGUCUGUUUAUCUUUCAGGUUGCAGGUGUGUGAGGCCACAGAGUGUGGCAACUCCUCCCAAUGACAGUGAGGUCACUGAUCUGGCAGAGACAGGACAAGGCGAGGGAGGGAAAGAAGCGGACAGCCUAUAGACAGAUAGAAAUGGACCCAGAGGAGUCAAAGUGGUGAGGAAGGAAGAAAACACAAGUGUCUGAAGUUGGGGCCCUCCCACAUCACCCUCCACCCUUAGAAGAUCAAACCAGCCAAGGAACUACUAAAUCUUGAUUUUACUUUUUACUAUGUGGACACAGCCAUUGUUAAAUUCACUUUGAUUUUAUUUAACCUUCAGAUUGAUUGGAUGUAAAAUAAAUGUAAAUACAUUUUUUUUGUGUGCCAUGAAGAGUUUGCAUGCAGUGAACCCAUUCCAUACAAUUGUCUGACAGUAUACACUUUGAUCUACUAAGAUGGGUAGGCAUCAAUGUAGGCUGUUUGGUAGUUAUAUCCUUACCAGACCCUGAGAUGUGACCUUACUUAGAAACAAAACUGUUGCAGAUAUAAUGAAUUAAGAUGAGGUUAUACUGGAUUAGGGUGGAUCCUGAAUCCAAUAUGACUGGGAUCCUUACAAGAACAGAAGACACACACACAAGAUGGCCAAGUGGCGAUGGAGGCCGAGAUUGGGAUGAUGUACCUGUGAGCCAAGAAUGCCACGGACUGUGGGCAGCCACCAGAAGCCAGAAGGGAGAAAUGGAACAGAUUCUCCCUCAGAGAGUCCGGAAGAAACCAGCCCUGCCAACACCUUGAUUUUGGACUUCUAGGUACCAAAACCGGAAGAGAGUAAACUUCUGCUGUUAAAAGCUGCCCAGUUUGUGGUUGUUUGGUGCAGCAUCCCUAGGAAUCUAUACGGUGGUCUUGCAUGUCAAUAAAGGAGAGGAGCCUAAGAAA